ACCUUUCAAGCGAGUGGCGAACGGGUGAGUAACACGUGGAUAACCUGCCUCAAGGCUGGGGAUAACAUUUGGAAACAGAUGCUAAUACCGAAUAAAACUUAGUAUCGCAUGAUACAAAGUUGAAAGGCGCUACGGCGUCACCUAGAGAUGGGUCCGCGGUGCAUUAGUUAGUUGGUGGGGUAAAGGCCUACCAAGACAAUGAUGCAUAGCCGAGUUGAGAGACUGAUCGGCCACAUUGGGACUGAGACACGGCCCAAACUCCUACGGGAGGCUGCAGUAGGGAAUCUUCCACAAUGGGCGAAAGCCUGAUGGAGCAACGCCGCGUGUGUGAUGAAGGCUUUAGGGUCGUAAAGCACUGUUGUAUGGGAAGAAAUGCUAGAAUAGGGAAUGAUUCUAGUUCGACGGUACCAUACCAGAAAGGGACGGCUAAAUACGUGCCAGCAGCCGCGGUAAUACGUAUGUCCCGAGCGUUAUCCGGAUUUAUUGGGCGUAAAGCGAGCGCAGACGGUUGAUUAAGUCUGAUGUGAAAGCCCGGAGCUCAACUCCGGAAUGGCAUUGGAAACUGGUUAACUUGAGUGUUGUAGAGGUAAGUGGAACUCCAUGUGUAGCGGUGGAAUGCGUAGAUAUAUGGAAGAACACCAGUGGCGAAGGCGGCUUACUGGACAACAACUGACGUUGAGGCUCGAAAGUGUGGGUAGCAAACAGGAUUAGAUACCCUGGUAGUCCACACCGUAAACGAUGAAUACUAGGUGUUAGGAGGUUUCCGCCUCUUAGUGCCGAAGCUAACGCAUUAAGUAUUCCGCCUGGGGAGUACGACCGCAAGGUUGAAACUCAAGGAAUUGACGGGGACCCGCACAAGCGGUGGAGCAUGUGGUUUAAUUCGAAGCAACGCGAAGAACUUACCAGGUCUUGACAUCCUU
RNAcentral lists this ribosomal RNA (920 nucleotides) under Leuconostoc lactis. RNAcentral describes it as "bacterial SSU rRNA". It matches the Rfam family "Bacterial small subunit ribosomal RNA", at positions 82 to 991 of the family's 1533-position model. The record is from RNAcentral. Lineage: Bacteria; Bacillati; Bacillota; Bacilli; Lactobacillales; Lactobacillaceae.